RNAcentral lists this unclassified non-coding RNA (2050 nucleotides) under Bactrocera tryoni. RNAcentral describes it as "uncharacterized LOC120780600, transcript variant X1". The record is from RNAcentral. Lineage: Eukaryota; Metazoa; Arthropoda; Insecta; Diptera; Tephritidae.
GACGCUUUAAGAGAAAUGUUAUUUUAAAGUUUGUUGUGCUAAGUGAACAGUUCGAUAUUAGAAAGUGCAAGAUAUUACAUAUGUACAUAGUUAUAUAAUUAAAUUCAAAUGGCUACUACCUCAUCUAAUGUUCGUGUUAGAUCUAAAACCCUAAUUUAUUUAAUUGGGUAUUCAUCUCAUCAAAUAAUCGGGAGUAAACUGCCAUCUAAUCAUCAAGUGUUAAAGUCAUUGUUUUACAACAUUCGUGAAGUUGGAUUACCUUUUAGUAAUGCUGCAAAACUCACUCUGACGGAAGUUCUUGUGUUCUGGGAGAAAGCUAGAAUACCUUAUCAAUUACGAAAAACUGCUGUUCGCAAAGUCGAAAAAUUAUAUAACGAAUGGAGGGCACUUCAGAAGUGUUCAAGAUUGAAGACAAAACGUCAAGAGGAAAAAAAUCUUGCAUUCACAUCCAAACUGUCCGAUCUUUUUGAUGUAGCAGUGGAAGAUGCCAUUUCAAAAAUGUCUAAUCAGGAAGAUAUAAAUUUUUGACAUAUCAGAUAAUGAAAGGACGUCCAGGCCAUAUGGAAGGUAUCGAUGUGAAUACAGCUCUAGCUGAAGAGCGGCGAUGGCGACAGAUUUCACCAGUAAGCGCUGUAUGUCGCUCAAGCUAAAUAAUAGACACAUCGAAGAAUACUAGUUUGAAGAUAUUCCUUCAGAUAGCGAGAGUAUUUGUAGCGACGAGGAUACAGAAGAUCAGCCAAAUCCGCUGGUGUUAGGCGAUUCGAAUGGAGAAGUUCAAAUGACUGAUUAUGACAACUUUGAUUCCGAUGAUGACAUCCCUCUGUCUAACUUAGUACUUCGGAAUCCUGAAUCUACAGAGUCUAACACUGUAAACUCAAUCAGACCGGCUACAAUGGCUCCAAAAUGAAAGAAGAAUUAUAGAAUGGACAUACCUGCUGAAAUUACUGAAAGUGUGGAAAGCUUUAUUCACCCACCACUACAGAAGAGCUUGAUGCUUUUAUUGCUUUGAACUUGGUAAUGGGUAUGAAGAAAUUGCCGACCUACAGAGAUUACUGGUCAUCAGCACCUGAUUUGCAUGACGGGUAUGUAUCGAGGUUCAUGAGCUUUAAUAGAUUCAGUUGGCUUUUGAAUUACUUACAGUGGAUUGCCAAAUUAUUAGGGACAGUCGCAUUUUUCCCCAAUUUGUUCCUUUGGGCGCAGUUGAGUGCGGUUUUAAGAGCAACAACUUUACAGGAAAGUACUUUUUGCGUUCACCACAUCUUGAUAACUUCAGUUUUAAGUAGAUUUUGAGAGUUAAUGUAUUUGUUUACUUUCUACAAAUAUUUUAUUAAAGGUAGACUCGCAGGGUGCUGAACACGUAUUUUAGUGAAAGUUGAAAUUAAUUAUUUAAAAAAAGUUUUUAUCAUUUUUGUGCAACAAACGCAGAUCAAAUUAUGGGUCGAGGGUGUUAUUUGUCCCCAAGGAAAAAAUCAGAGAUUAAAACUCUUCUCCAGCACAUAAGCCAUUCGCAAAGGAACAUAGCAGAACUAGCUGGAGUUUCUAAGACAGAAGUGAAUAAAAUAAAGAUUAGUUUGGAUCAAAAUCAAUCACUUUCGCCAAAAAAAAGGGCAAGAGUGGAAGAAAACGCAUAACAACAUCACGAUCUGACCGGAAAAUUCGGGACAUCUGCUUGCAAAACAGGAAGAAAAGUGCUGGGCUCUUAACUCAAUUAGUUCAAGAGUCUGGAGUAGUAGUAUCCAAAAGAACCGUGCAGCGAAGGUUAGCAGAAGAAGGGUUGACUUGUCAUCGUCCUGCUAAGGAAACCUCGGUUAACAGAUGCGAUGAAGAAAAAACGUCUUGCCUGGUCCCAAAAAUACCGCCAGAAGACUGAUGAGGACUGGAGUAAGGUAUGUUUUUCAGAGGAGUCAACCUUUGAAAUUCUGGCCGACAAGAGCAGCUUCGUCCAGGCGAAAAAUGUCACCCUGACUGCAUUGUGGAGAGGGUUAAACACCCUGUUAAAAUAAUGGUGUGGUCUGUCAUAAGUGCUAAAGGGGUUGGACGUCUCUACAUU